RNAcentral lists this ribosomal RNA (197 nucleotides) under uncultured bacterium. RNAcentral describes it as "partial 16S ribosomal RNA". It matches the Rfam family "Bacterial small subunit ribosomal RNA", at positions 328 to 539 of the family's 1533-position model. The record is from RNAcentral.
ACGCUCGACACCUACGGGAGGCAGCAGUGGGGAAUAUUGCACAAUGGGGGAAACCCUGAUGCAGCGACGCCGCGUGGAGGAAGAAGGUCUUCGGAUUGUAAACUCCUGUUGUUGGGGAAAAAGAGGAUGGUACCCAACAAGGAAGUGACGGCUAAUACGNGCCAGCAGCCGCGGUAAUCUGAGCGGGCUGGCAAGGC